Molecule: ribosomal RNA, 530 nt
Filed under: Geastrum pleosporum
Lineage: Eukaryota; Fungi; Basidiomycota; Agaricomycetes; Geastrales; Geastraceae
Description: eukaryotic LSU rRNA
Source: RNAcentral
CAUUAACGUAAGAUAUUUAGAGUCUUGAGACUGUGUCCAAAUGGCGCGUGCUCGACUCCUUUAUUCUUUAUCCACACACACCUCUGUGCACUAUGGGAUGUAAAAAUCCCCUUUUCAUACAAAAACCGAGUUUUAUGCAUGGUAUUUAUGCUCUAYGGAGUAACAUACAACUUUCAACAACGGAUCUCUUGGCUUUCGCAUCGAUGAAGAACGCAGCGAACGUGCGAAACGUAAUGUGAAUUGCAGAAUUCAGUGAAUCAUCGAAUCUUUGAACGCAUCUUGCGCUCCUUGGCAUUCCGAGGAGCAUGCCUGUUUGAGUGUCGUGGAAUACUCAAUUUCAUUCUCUUUUGUUUGAAAUUGGACUUGGAUGCUGUUGUGCGUCACAACUCGUCCCAAAUGUAUUAGCGAUCUGCCUUGAUCACGCACAGUGUGAUAAGAAAAAAAAAAGCAUUGUCGAGGUCGAGUAAAAAGUCGCUUCCAAUUGUCGAAAGACAAAUUAUCAUGUCAUUUGACCUCAAAUCAGGUAGGAC